GACGAACGCUGGCGGCGUGCUUAACACAUGCAAGUCGAACGGAAAGGCCCUGCUUUUGUGGGGUGCUCGAGUGGCGAACGGGUGAGUAACACGUGAGUAACCUGCCCUUGGCUUUGGGAUAACUUCAGGAAACUGGGGCUAAUACCGGAUAGGAGCUCCUGCUGCAUGGUGGGGGUUGGAAAGUUUCGGCGGUUGGGGAUGGACUCGCGGCUUAUCAGCUUGUUGGUGGGGUAGUGGCUUACCAAGGCUUUGACGGGUAGCCGGCCUGAGAGGGUGACCGGCCACAUUGGGAAUGAGAUACGGCCCAGACUCCUACGGGAGGCAGCAGUGGGGAAUAUUGCACAAUGGGCGGAAGCCUGAUGCAGCAACGCCGCGUGCGGGAUGACGGCCUUCGGGUUGUAAACCGCUUUCGCCUGUGACGAAGCGUGAGUGACGGUAAUGGGUAAAGAAGCACCGGCUAACUACGUG
This 468-nucleotide ribosomal RNA is filed under the name uncultured bacterium. RNAcentral's name for it is "partial 16S ribosomal RNA". It matches the Rfam family "Bacterial small subunit ribosomal RNA", at positions 28 to 507 of the family's 1533-position model. The record is from RNAcentral.